This 547-nucleotide ribosomal RNA is filed under the name uncultured Alphaproteobacteria bacterium. Its description in RNAcentral is "bacterial SSU rRNA". It matches the Rfam family "Bacterial small subunit ribosomal RNA", at positions 349 to 914 of the family's 1533-position model. Lineage: Bacteria; Pseudomonadati; Pseudomonadota; Alphaproteobacteria. The record is from RNAcentral.
CAGCAGUGGGGAAUCUUAGACAAUGGGCGCAASCCUGAUCUAGCCAUGCCGCGUGAGUGAUGAAGGCCCUAGGGUCGUAAAGCUCUUUCRCCWGAGAUGAUAAUGACAGUAUCUGKUAAAGAAACCCCGGCUAACUCCGUGCCAGCAGCCGCGGUAAUACGGAGGGGGUUAGCGUUGUUCGGAAUUACUGGGCGUAAAGCGCACGUAGGCGGAUUAAUAAGUUAGAGGUGAAAUCCCAGGGCUCAACCCUGGAACUGCCUUUAAUACUGUUAGUCUUGAGWUCGAGAGAGGUGAGUGGAAUUCCAAGUGUAGAGGUGAAAUUCGUAGAUAUUCGGAGGAACACCAGUGGCGAAGGCGGCUCACUGGCUCGAUACUGACGCUGAGGUGCGAAAGUGUGGGGAGCAAACAGGAUUAGAUACCCUGGUAGUCCACACCGUAAACGAUGAAUGCCAGACGUCAGCAAGCAUACUUGUUGGUGUCACACCUAACGGAUUAAGCAUUCCGCCUGGGGAGUACGGUCGCAAGAUUAAAACUCAAGGGAAUUGAC